Molecule: ribosomal RNA, 427 nt
Filed under: uncultured bacterium
Lineage: Bacteria
Description: partial 16S ribosomal RNA
Rfam family: Bacterial small subunit ribosomal RNA
Source: RNAcentral
UGGGGAAUAUUGGACAAUGGGCGAAAGCCUGAUCCAGCCAUGCCGCGUGUGUGAAGAAGGUCUUCGGAUUGUAAAGCACUUUAAGUUGGGAGGAAGGGCAUUAACCUAAUACGUUAGUGUUUUGACGUUACCGACAGAAUAAGCACCGGCUAACUCUGUGCCAGCAGCCGCGGUAAUACAGAGGGUGCAAGCGUUAAUCGGAAUUACUGGGCGUAAAGCGCGCGUAGGUGGUUUGUUAAGUUGGAUGUGAAAUCCCCGGGCUCAACCUGGGAACUACAUUCAAAACUGACUGACUAGAGUAUGGUAGAGGGUGGUGGAAUUUCCUGUGUAGCGGUGAAAUGCGUAGAUAUAGGAAGGAACACCAGUGGCGAAGGCGACCACCUGGACUAAUACUGACACUGAGGUGCGAAAGCGUGGGGAGCAAACA